GGAAUAUUGGACAAUGGGCGCAAGCCUGAUCCAGCCAUGCCGCGUGUGUGAAGAGGGCCUUCGGGUUGUAAAGCACUUUUGUACGGGAAGAAAAGCACUCGGUUAAUACCCGGGUGUCAUGACGGUACCGUAAGAAUAAGCACCGGCUAACUUCGUGCCAGCCGCCGCGGUAAUACGAAGGGUGCAAGCGUUACUCGGAAUUACUGGGCGUAAAGCGUGCGUAGGUGGUUUGUUAAGUCUGAUGUGAAAGCCCUGGGCUCAACCUGGGAAUUGCAUUAGAUACUGGCAGUCUAGAGUGCGGUAGAGGGUAGCGGAAUUCCCGGUGUAGCAGUGAAAUGCGUAGAUAUCGGGAGGAACAUCCGUGGCGAAGGCGGCAUCCUGGACCGGCACUGACGCUGAGGAGCGAAAGCCAGGGGAGCAAAC
RNAcentral lists this ribosomal RNA (423 nucleotides) under uncultured bacterium. RNAcentral describes it as "bacterial SSU rRNA". It matches the Rfam family "Bacterial small subunit ribosomal RNA", at positions 358 to 773 of the family's 1533-position model. The record is from RNAcentral.